UUACUUAAAUGUUUUUCUCUAUGUGCUAAAUGAAAUCACCAUUAUGUACUACACCCAGUUCGAUGUACUGUGAAGUUACUUAAACUAAGCCUGCUUUUUUUCUCCUUAGUCAUUUCUUUUCUUAAUUGUAUCAGUGUAAUUACCACACACUCGUGUCAGUCAUUGCAACUGUGUCUUGUGGUGCUAAAUCAGGGGUGUCAAACUCCAGUCCUGGAUAACACCUGUUUUCUGACAAAACAUCCUACCUAUCGAGACGUGCUAUCGAGCCUUUCUGCGCAUGUGCAGUUCCACCGUCUUGGGAUACGCUCAAUGUACGUCACAGUUCCGGGUUGGUUUAUACCGGCUGAUUAACUUCCGGUUACACCGGCGCGACAGACAUGACUCUUUUUUACAGUCGCCGUCUUCAAGACCUGCCUCGUCUGACAGUCAAUGAUGUGGACAGACUUGUCAGGACAUCAUGCCCCACUCCCUCCAGCAAACGGGAAAAGGGAUUUAAGAUGUAUAUCGGCAGCAACAUCGACAUUUAUGAGAGAAAGGAAUGAAAACUUACACAGGAGUUGUACCGUGAAGAUACCGAGCACAAAGGGACACUACAGUGCUCCGACGCUGCUUUAAUUUGUUUUUGACGUCGCAAAACCGUCUUCUCCAUGGUUAUGUAGAGUAAACACAAAACUGUAUUACAUAAAACUUUUUUCGCUUGUUAUUUAACUGAAGGUGCGAUACUCCCACACAGCCACUAGUUUCUCUUGCAAACCGGAAGCUUUCCUGUCUGUAUAAAGUAUGAGCGGAAAUACGUCAGCAUUCUCGUUGCAUACCCCCAAUUAGGGUUUAUUGAUGGGAAGUUCGGCUCAAUUAACUGAUUUGAUUCUUUCGAACUGGCCGUUGUAAUGAAUCGAUUCUAAAACCGAUUCUAUGAUUCACUUUUUUUUUUUCGUCUUUUUUUUUGCGCCUGACCAUAUGACUCAAGGAAUCAUGGAAUCGGAUAAUAAAUCUGUCUCAAGCUUACGUUAUUUGACUGAAAGAUAGCGCUGGUGUUCAACAAAAAUGUUCAGCUUGACUAUUCACAAAAAAAAAACAAUAUAUAAAAAACAGAAAGAUGUCGAUGCUGAAUAAACACAC
Paramormyrops kingsleyae is the source of this 1119-nucleotide long non-coding RNA. RefSeq lists it as uncharacterized. NCBI's taxonomy places the organism in Eukaryota, Metazoa, Chordata, Actinopteri, Osteoglossiformes, Mormyridae. The record is from RefSeq and is a predicted model, not a curated record.